UUACGGCCAUAUCACUUUCAAACACCGGUUGCCGUUAGAUCACCGAAGUUAAGCAACGUCGAAUCUGGUCAGUACCUAGAUGGGUGACCGCUUGGGAAUACCAGGUGCUGUA
Acanthosepion pharaonis is the source of this 112-nucleotide non-coding RNA. The record is from the annotation of a GenBank genome assembly. NCBI's taxonomy places the organism in Eukaryota, Metazoa, Mollusca, Cephalopoda, Sepiida, Sepiidae.